RNAcentral lists this long non-coding RNA (847 nucleotides) under Monodelphis domestica (gray short-tailed opossum). RNAcentral describes it as "lncRNA (ENSMODG00000050275.1)". The stretch from base 800 to 847 matches the Rfam family "5.8S ribosomal RNA", at positions 1 to 48 of the family's 154-position model. Lineage: Eukaryota; Metazoa; Chordata; Mammalia; Didelphimorphia; Didelphidae. The record is from RNAcentral.
AUGCCGAGUCCCCCCGCGGCGGGGGGUUUUCGAGCGAGAGAGGAAUGCUGCUCGAAGUGCUUGACCACGAUCCCGCCGCCCCGGCGCGGUCGUGCCCCCGCCGCUGCAUGCGCCGGGGUCGGUCCCGCUCGCUCGAGUGAGCGUCUUCCCUCCGAGAUGGGGAAUUGGGGUUGGCGUGACCGGCCGGGUGUGCCUUGGUCGCUCGUCCCGACCGCCCCGAGAGGCCUUUCCGCCCCCAUCCUGUCCCGGGUACCUAGCGCGUUCUGGCGCGGAGGUUUAAAGAUUCGGGGGUUGCCCUCCGCUCUCCAGCGGGGUCUUGGGACGGCCGCCCCCUGGGUUUGCCGGACGGGCCAGUGGGAAGAGGAGAUGCCUGGCUCCGACUUCUCCCGUUCUCCGGUGUGGUGCUGGGUUCGGGUCCUGGUCGUGGGGGACCGCCCGCCCGCCCUCGGUGAGGUGUGCUCCGCGUGGAGGCCGCACGCCGAGGGCCGGUGCCGCGACGAGGCUGGGUCGUCGCUCCUCCCCCUCUGGUCGGGUUGCCGGUGGCCGGGUUGCCCGCGUGCCCCCCUCCGUGGGGUCGCCGCCGUUGGGUUUGUCGGUGGCUGCCGUCCCCCGCGUCGGCCCGUCCCGCUUGCCGCCUCGGGGAAACGGUCGUUCCUCCGAGCCCCCCCACUGCUGUGUCGUGUCUCGUUUUUACCUUCCGUUUACGCGUUGUGGGGGUUGCUUUGGGGUGUUGGGGGGGGGCCACGCGCCUCUCCCCCCCCCUCCCUCCCGCGUAUCCCAAAAAAACCUAAAUUCGGACAACUCUUAGCGGUGGAUCACUCGGCUCGUGCGUCGAUGAAGAACGCAG